GAAACUUUUGCAACACCGAAAUCAGAAACUUUCGCUUCAUACUCCUCAUCAAGUAGAAUGUUUGUUGACUUGAUAUCUCUAUGAAUAAUAGGAGGGACACAAUCAUGGUGUAAAUAAGCGAUUCCCUUUGCAGUUCCAACUGCAAUUUUAUACCUCUGGUACCAAUCUAAUUCUGUCUUCCCAUCCUUGACUUCCCGGUGUAAUGCCUCGAACAAAUUACCAUUUGGCAAGUACUCGAAAACCAACAUCUUCGAACGUUCUCUCAUUAGACUGGCAUACAGUUUAACUAUAUUUCUAUGCCUGAUCUUUCCUAGAAUGUCUAUUUCCCUUGUCAAAACUUUCACCUCAUUUCCUUUCCAAAGCUGCUUUACUGCCACUGUGCCACAACCUUUCUUCAAAUCUAACCGAUAAACUUUUCCUGUGCCUCCACUUCCUAUCAGCUUGUCCUCACCAACGUCACAUAUUUCAUCUACAUCAAGUUCCACAUGUUGGAAGCUCUCAAGCUUCCAUUUUGGAUUCAUUCCAUUUGCAUGUCCCAGACACUUUUCGGAAUCAGCUUCAGCGUUGCACUUGUACUUCCAGUAACUCACAAGCAUGAAAACACACAUUAGAACAGCCAAAGAAAGUAAUACAACGCAAAACACAACUAGUUUGCUCUUCAUGAACACUUCCUGAGCAGCCUUAGCACUACAAGCACCCAUGCCUGAGUUCGUUCGGAUAUUCCUGAUGCUUUGAUCAACACAAAGCCCCUUGUUUCCUACAAAUGCUUUUUCUCCUCCCACCGUUAAAAG
RNAcentral lists this unclassified non-coding RNA (791 nucleotides) under Hevea brasiliensis (rubber tree). Lineage: Eukaryota; Viridiplantae; Streptophyta; Magnoliopsida; Malpighiales; Euphorbiaceae. The record is from RNAcentral.